CGCCAAACAGCUAGCUCACACACAACACCAACAUACCCUUAUUAUAUCCAUAAAUUAUACUUUACCACAUGAAACAAACCAUUUUACCUCCCAAGUACGGGCGACGAAAAAGGACCUAGAAGCGAUAGAAAAAGUACCGCAAGGGAAAGCUGAAAGAGAAAUGAAAUAACUCAUCUAAGCAUCAAAAAGCAGAGACACCCCCUCGUACCUUUUGCAUCAUGAUUUAGCAAGAAACACGUUAAGCAAAAAGAAUUGUAGUUUAAUUUCCCGAAACUAAGUGAGCUACUCCAAGACAGCCUURUUAUUAGGGCAACCCCGUCUCUGUGGCAAAAGAGUGGGAAGAGCUUUGAGUAGAAGUGAUAGACCAACCGAACUUAGUUAUAGCUGGUUGCCUGAGAAUUGAAUAAAAGUUCAGCCUUUUAAAUUCUUUCCCCAAAUUUCUAUAUAUAUUUAUCUAAGGAACAAGAAAUUAAAGAAGUUAUUCAAAGGGGGUACAGCCCCUUUGAAAUAAAAGACAACUUUCCCAGCAGGAUAAAGAUCAUAUUAAAACUUAAGGUAUAUGCCCCAGUGGGCCUAAAAGCAGCCAUCCCAUUAGAAAGCGUUAAAGCUCGAGCAUUCAUACUCCACAAAUAUUGAUAUACUCUCUUAAUCCCCUAUUUAUAUCAGGCUAUUUCAUAUAAUAUGAAAGCAAUUAUGCUAAUAUGAGUAAUAAGAGAGGACUGCCUCUCUCCCUGCACACAUGUACAUCGGAACGAACCCCCACCGAAAAUUAACGAACCCAAAAUCAAGAGGGAACUGGAUAAUAAAUAAAUACCAGAAAACCAUCCAACCUUCAAUCGUUACCCCUACACUGGUGUGCUUCAUGGGAAAGACUAAAAGGAAAAGAAGGAACUCGGCAAACACAAGCCUCGCCUGUUUACCAAAAACAUCGCCUCUUGAUUACAAAACAUAAGAGGUCCCGCCUGCCCAGUGACUAUAAGUUUAACGGCCGCGGUAUUUUAACCGUGCAAAGGUAGCGCAAUCACUUGUCUUUUAAAUGAAGACCUGUAUGAAUGGCACCACGAGGGCUUAACUGUCUCCUUUUUCCUGUCAAUGAAAUUGAUCUCCCCGUGCAGAAGCGGGGAUAAUUACAUAAGACGAGAAGACCCUAUGGAGCUUUAGGCUCCAGAACAGACUAUGUAAAACACCCUUCAAUAAAAGACAAAACUUAUUAGGACCCUGUUUAAUAUGCCUUUGGUUGGGGCGACCGCGGGGAAACAAAAACCCCCAUGUGGACCGGGAGCACACUACUCCUACAACCCAGAGUUACAACUCCAAGCAACAGAAUUUCUGACCAACAAGAUCCGGCAUACAGCCGAUCAACGGACCGAGUUACCCUAGGGAUAACAGCGCAAUCCUCUUUCAGAGCCCAUAUCGACAAGAGGGUUUACGACCUCGAUGUUGGAUCAGGACAUCCUAAUGGUGCAGCCACUAUUAAGGGUUCGUUUGUUCAACGAUUAAAGUCCUACGUGAUCUGAGUUCAGACCGGAGUAAUCCAGGUCAGUUUCUAUCUAUGCCACGAUCUUUUCUAGUACGAAAGGACCGAAAAGAUAGAGGCCCCUGUUUCCGAUAUGCCUCACCCUCACCUACUGAAACCAACUAAAAUAGGCAAAAGGGCGUACCCCUUUAGCCUAAGAAAAUGGCCUU
Molecule: ribosomal RNA, 1686 nt
Filed under: Bujurquina oenolaemus
Lineage: Eukaryota; Metazoa; Chordata; Actinopteri; Cichliformes; Cichlidae
Description: 16S ribosomal RNA
Rfam family: Bacterial large subunit ribosomal RNA
Source: RNAcentral